GGGUACUUACAUUAGUCACUUCUGGUUCUUGAACCUGUGGAGUUACACCCGUUAUUAUUAACUAUUGAUGUAAUAUUGUUAUUUCUAUGCUACAGUAGUACAAAUACUGUGUCAGAAUCACCAUACUUUUUUUAUUAGAGUUUUUUUUAUGACACAAGGGGGAUUCCCUACUGUUGUUUUAUUAGGGUUGGUCAAAAAAAAUAAGACAUCUGGAUUUACCAUUUUACUUUCAACUACUCUUCUCUAAAAGCAAGCAAGCAUCGAGAAAUAAGUUAGAUAAUAAUGUGAGGGGUAAGAUUAGAAAUUAAAAGUCAUGUAAAAGUUGCAAGUUUUAAACAAUAAAUAUUUUAAAUAUUGUAAAGAAGUCAAAAACAGUCUUUAUUUUUAACCAAAUUAGGGAGUAGAGAAUUCACCUAACUAUACAUGUAUUGAAUAUAGUCUUGUUCCUUAUCAUACUAAUCCAAGAAAAUUGUAAAACCGUUAUGUUCUCAACAUUAACUCUAUGCUAGAGCAGUACGAAUACACGAAUACAUGUUAGAAUUGGAAUGUUUUAUUCCCAUUUACAAACACGUGAAAAAAAUACCUUAUAAGAUGGAAUGGCAUUUCGGAGCAGCAGAACUCACACGGAAGUUGAAUAACAUUUUCAAGCCUUGCAAAGCCACACUCACACCACACUCACUCACACCAGAACGCACAUACAUAGAACGCACACCACACUCACACCAGACGCACACACAUGUGAGCAUUCAUACACACGUUAGAGAAGAGAUUGAAGAGGCUACAGCCCUCAUUGCAUGGGAAACAGGCAGGACCACUAAAUGCGCACACGUGCGUGUACCUACAAUAAUCCAGUAAUAAAACAUAGAAAAAUCGUUUCUACUGGGGUUUUCGAACCCAUGACCUCCUGCUGGAGGCUCCGCUACAGAUCUAUAAUCCACUCGAUAACAAGGGCAGAAGCUCCUAAGAAGCCACCCGUCGCAUCACGCAUCACCAGAUUGGACCCUUAAUGAUAUACAGAUGUAUGACGUGCUUGCAAAUCUCACAC
Molecule: long non-coding RNA, 1045 nt
Filed under: Setaria viridis
Lineage: Eukaryota; Viridiplantae; Streptophyta; Magnoliopsida; Poales; Poaceae
Description: long non-coding RNA (SVIR_LNC006481)
Source: RNAcentral